Molecule: ribosomal RNA, 512 nt
Filed under: uncultured Russula
Lineage: Eukaryota; Fungi; Basidiomycota; Agaricomycetes; Russulales; Russulaceae
Description: eukaryotic LSU rRNA
Rfam family: 5.8S ribosomal RNA (bases 142-295)
Source: RNAcentral
CUCGAGCGUUCUCACACAUCCAUCUCANNNAUUUGUGCAUCACCGCGUGGGCCCUCCUUUGCAGGGAGGGCUUGCGUUUUCACAUAAAACUCGAUACAGUGUAGAAUGUCUUUUUCUUUUGCGGUCACACGCAAUCAAUACAACUUUCAACAACGGAUCUCUUGGCUCUCGCAUCGAUGAAGAACGCAGCGAAAUGCGAUACGUAAUGUGAAUUGCAGAAUUCAGUGAAUCAUCGAAUCUUUGAACGCACCUUGCGUCCCUUGGCAUUCCGAGGGGCACACCCGUUUGAGUGUCUUGAAAUCAUCAAAGCCCCUUUUCUUUGAUCCUCUUUUGGUCGGGAAAAUGAUUUUUGGACUUGGAGGUUCUAUGCUUGCUUUUUGAAAGCAAGCUCCUCUCAAAUGAAUUAGUGGGGUCUGCUUUGCUAAUCCUUUGACGUGAUAACAUGUUUCUACGUUUUGGAUUUACCACUGUCCCUCAGACAACCUGCUCCUAACCGUCCCGUUGGACAAAAC